AUGCUCCUGGCCAGGCUGAGCCACCAAACUCAGGGCGCUUUUCCAGAGCUUGGAAACACAAAACAUCCCAGGGCCGGUGCCAGGGCGGUGCGGGACGAGGUGGCACCGGGAGAGAAACCCGGGCUCGGGGCAGGAGCCACUGGCCCCACACCGGGACCCUCGGGGAUGCUCCACGAGCCUCAGCUCUGGACCCCCCUCCCACAGCCCCUCCUGCCCCCGGGAGCUGUUUGUGACCUCCCUCUGCAGCUUGAAUUCAUUUGGGGUUUGCUGCCGGGCCCUGGGCCAGGAGUUAGAGUGAACAACCCCCUCCUGCACGAUCCAGGGGCUGGCAGCCCAGCCAGCGGCUCCUCCCUUUCCCCCCACCCCAAAAAAGCCAAAGGUAAAGCCCCAGCACGGGGGGCUUUGUCCCUGUCCCUGUCCCCAACCCAGCCCGGGUCCUGCUGGUGUCCAGCGGACCCUCAGAAGCCACCAGGACACCUGGCUGGGACUGGGAUCACCAGUUUGGGACUGGGAUGCAGAAUGUGGGAUCAGGAUAAAGAAUCUGGGGCUGGGAUCAGAGUUUGGGAUCAGGAUAAAGAAUCUGGGGCUGGGAUCAGAGUUUGGGACUGGAAUCAGAAUUUGGGACUGGGAUCAGAGUUUGGGAUCAGGAUGCAGAACCUGGGACUGGGAUCAGAGUUUGGGAUCAGGAUGCAGAACCUGGGACUGGGAUCAGAGUUUGGGACUGGGCUCACAGUUUGGGAUCAGGAUGCAGAACCUGGGACUGGGAUCAGAGUUUGGUACCAGGAGAGCCGUGGGCCAGGAGCCCAUGGCACAACCCAUCCCUGGGCCGGCAGCCGCCGAUCCAGCCCCUGGAUCCUCCAUGGGAAGGGGAGGUUGUGCCACGGAGCCUCCCCGCGGUGCCCUGGGAAAGCUGGGCCGGGGAUGAAUGAGGGCUCUGUGCUCCAGCCCCAGCACGGGUUACCAGCAUUUUCCAGGCUACCGGCACGGAACGGAGCAGGGAACGCGGCCGGGAGCUGGGACAGACACGGAGGGAGGGUCGGGACAGCCCAGGGCAGGGUGGGGAGCCCCCACCCUGAGGAGAUUUGGGACAGGUGACAGCGAGUUCCCCAGGCUGGGGGUGGCAGUGCUGGGCUGGUGUCACUCGGGACACGCAGCUCCCAGCCAGGAUCCCGGAAAAGAGAAAACAAAACAAAACCCCAGCACAGAAAUCUUUGCUUUGGCAUUUCCUGAUUGUUUUUAAAGAGGCAAAUCAGCCGUCAGCAGAGCUGGGCUUAUAUAAGAGGGGAACAAAGCGGGAGGCAAACAAAGCAGGGCAGGAAGAUUAUUGAGGAGCAAACCAGUGGCAUCGAGCUCUGCUGUUCUGUGCAUCCCUGCUUGUUUCCCUGCUUAUUUCCCUGUCUAUAUUCCUGUUUUUCCCUGCUUGUUUCCCUGUCUAUAUCCCUGUUUUUCUUUGUCUGUAUCCUUGUUUUCCCCUGCUUGUUUCCCUGUCUAUCCCUGCCUAUAUCCCUGUCUAUAUUCCUGUUUUUCCUUGCCUGAAUCCCUGUUUUUCCCUGUCUAAAUCCCUGUUUUUCCUUGCCUGAAUCCCUGUUUUUCCUUGCCUGUAUCCCUGUUUUUCCCUGCUUGUUUCCCUGUCUAUCCCUGCCUGUAUCCCUGUCUU
RNAcentral lists this long non-coding RNA (1657 nucleotides) under Parus major (Great Tit). Its description in RNAcentral is "lncRNA (ENSPMJG00000004101.1)". Lineage: Eukaryota; Metazoa; Chordata; Aves; Passeriformes; Paridae. The record is from RNAcentral.